UACAGAGGUCUCAAGCGUUGUUCGGAUUCAUUGGGCGUAAAGGGUGUGUAGGUGGCGCGCUAAGUCGGGUGUGAAAUUUCGGAGCUUAACUCCGAAACUGCAUUCGAUACUGGCGUGCUUGAGGACUGGAGAGGAGACUGGAAUUCAUGGUGUAGCAGUGAAAUGCGUAGAGAUCAUGAGGAAGACCAGUGGCGAAGGCGGGUCUCUGGACAUUUCCUGACGCUGAGGCACGAAAGCCAGGGGAGCAAACGGG
RNAcentral lists this ribosomal RNA (253 nucleotides) under uncultured bacterium. RNAcentral describes it as "partial 16S ribosomal RNA". It matches the Rfam family "Bacterial small subunit ribosomal RNA", at positions 524 to 776 of the family's 1533-position model. The record is from RNAcentral.